GAUGAACGCUGGCGGCGUGCCUAAUACAUGCAAGUCGAGCGAACGGACGAGAAGCUUGCUUCUCUGAUGUUAGCGGCGGACGGGUGAGUAACACGUGGAUAACCUACCUAUAAGACUGGGAUAACUUCGGGAAACCGGAGCUAAUACCGGAUAAUAUUUUGAACCGCAUGGUUCAAAAGUGAAAGACGGUCUUGCUGUCACUUAUAGAUGGAUCCGCGCUGCAUUAGCUAGUUGGUAAGGUAACGGCUUACCAAGGCAACGAUGCAUAGCCGACCUGAGAGGGUGAUCGGCCACACUGGAACUGAGACACGGUCCAGACUCCUACGGGAGGCAGCAGUAGGGAAUCUUCCGCAAUGGGCGAAAGCCUGACGGAGCAACGCCGCGUGAGUGAUGAAGGUCUUCGGAUCGUAAAACUCUGUUAUUAGGGAAGAACAUAUGUGUAAGUAACUGUGCACAUCUUGACGGUACCUAAUCAGAAAGCCACGGCUAACUACGUGCCAGCAGCCGCGGUAAUACGUAGGUGGCAAGCGUUAUCCGGAAUUAUUGGGCGUAAAGCGCGCGUAGGCGGUUUUUUAAGUCUGAUGUGAAAGCCCACGGCUCAACCGUGGAGGGUCAUUGGAAACUGGAAAACUUGAGUGCAGAAGAGGAAAGUGGUAUUCCAUGUGUAGCGGUGAAAUGCGCAGAGAUAUGGAGGAACACCAGUGGCGAAGGCGACUUUCUGGUCUGUAACUGACGCUGAUGUGCGAAAGCGUGGGGAUCAAACAGGAUUAGAUACCCUGGUAGUCCACGCCGUAAACGAUGAGUGCUAAGUGUUAGGGGGUUUCCGCCCCUUAGUGCUGCAGCUAACGCAUUAAGCACUCCGCCUGGGGAGUACGACCGCAAGGUUGAAACUCAAAGGAAUUGACGGGGACCCGCACAAGCGGUGGAGCAUGUGGUUUAAUUCGAAGCAACGCGGAGAACCUUACCAAAUCUUGACAUCCUUUGACAACUCUAGAGAUAGAGCCUUCCCCUUCGGGGGGGCAAAGUGACAGGUGGUGCAUGGUUGUCGUCAGCUCGUGUCGUGAGAUGUUGGGUUAAGUCCCGCAACGAGCGCAACCCUUAAGCUUAGUUGCCAUCAUUAAGUUGGGCACUCUAAGUUGACUGCCGGUGACAAACCGGAGAAAGGUGGGGAUGACGUCAAAUCAUCAUGCCCCUUAUGAUUUGGGCUACACACGUGCUACAAUGGACAAUACAAAGGGCAGCGAAACCGCGAGGUCAAGCAAAUCCCAUAAAGUUGUUCUCAGUUCGGAUUGUAGUCUGCAACUCGACUACAUGAAGCUGGAAUCGCUAGUAAUCGUAGAUCAGCAUGCUACGGUGAAUACGUUCCCGGGUCU
Molecule: ribosomal RNA, 1373 nt
Filed under: uncultured bacterium
Lineage: Bacteria
Description: bacterial SSU rRNA
Rfam family: Bacterial small subunit ribosomal RNA
Source: RNAcentral